CAGUCGCCACGGUAAUACAGAGGGUGCGAGCGUUAAUCGGAUUUACUGGGCGUAAAGCGUGCGUAGGUGGUUUGUUAAGUUGGAUGUGAAAGCCCCGGGCUCAACCUGGGAACUGCAUCCAAAACUGGCAAGCUAGAGUACGGUAGAGGGUGGUGGAAUUUCCUGUGUAGCGGUGAAAUGCGUAGAUAUAGGAAGGAACACCAGUGGCGAAGGCGACCACCUGGACUGAUACUGACACUGAGGUGCGAAAGCGUGGGGAGCAAACAGGAUUAGAUACCCGCGUAGUCCCUGUCUCUUAUAC
RNAcentral lists this ribosomal RNA (301 nucleotides) under uncultured bacterium. RNAcentral's name for it is "partial 16S ribosomal RNA". It matches the Rfam family "Bacterial small subunit ribosomal RNA", at positions 509 to 807 of the family's 1533-position model. The record is from RNAcentral.